Myotis daubentonii (Daubenton's bat) is the source of this 1120-nucleotide long non-coding RNA. RefSeq lists it as uncharacterized. The record is from RefSeq and is a predicted model, not a curated record. NCBI's taxonomy places the organism in Eukaryota, Metazoa, Chordata, Mammalia, Chiroptera, Vespertilionidae.
CCGGCGCCCCGCGCGGGGGCAGCGCGGGCUCAGCGGCGGGGGCGGCCGAGCCGGCCGUCCUGGUUGGGCGGCAUAGCUGGGCGGCUGACUCAGUGCGCAGCCCUGGCCGCGCCUGGCCCGCCGCGCACCUGGCGCACCUCGGCUCCGGGCUCCCGACCCGCGGGGCCGGGGAGGCUGCGAGGGCGCGUCCCGGGGUGGAGAUCGCCGGGGAGGAGGAUGCCCGGGACCGCUCCCCGCUCCUGCCAGCCGGUGGCCUCAGCGUUUCCCGAACUUGACACUCACCUAAGGCGCUCACUUUCCCAGGCUGCUCCCAGUCAAGGUGCAUUCCGUGGGCCCGGAUCUGUUCACCACGCCCCGUGCCAACGCGUAAACCGGGCCCAUUACAUAGGAUUGUCCUGCAAGUCAGCCCUGCAGGGAAGGGGUGAUGAUCCCCAUUUUCUGAUGCAGUGUCCUGAUCUUUGCCUGGUACCUGUUGAUGGAAGUGGAGCCAUUAGGGGAAGCGGUGAACUUAUUAUGAAAAUGAGAUAAUUGGUGAGAUCCAGCGUGUGGAAGGCUUCCCAGGAGCCCAGGCCCUGUGGAGGCUCAUCUUCAUCAAAAUUCCUGCUCCCCAGGCUCUGAAAGGGCUGACACCAAGCAAGGGGGGAGAGGCGGGGCUGUGUUUACUAGUACUUCAGAGCAAAUUCUAGUUCCACCAGGGAAGUUUUCCUGACAUUUUCUAAACCUCAGGAAUUCUCUUUUCUUUGGAUUCCUGUAGAAUUUUAUUUAUUUGCUCUUUCCUGGCUUCAUUUUAAGCCCAUAUUCAUUUUAAGUCCAUACCCUUGUUUUUGUUUUUGUUUUUUUUGUUGUUUUUUUUUUGUUUGUUUGUUUUGGGUCUUUUCUUCUCUCCCUCUCAGAGUUCUCACAUACUCUUUCAUUUAUUCUUAUCUGUGUGAGCCAUCUUACAUCCAUUUUUGAAUACGGUGGGUUAUAAAUAAACAAAAACUCUUACAUCAGUUAUAUAUCUCAGAAUAUCAAGCAUUGUGUGAUCAAGUUACUUCUCUUAGUAAAUUUUGUAGACUAAUUUGGACUUUGUGCCUCUUUGUAACAAUAUCUUAGUUCCUUGGUUAUCAUUCAGUCAUUU